AUCAGAAUGAACUAUGGCAUUUCUCCCAAUUGCGUCCGAGUUUAUCCGGGGUGCACCUUGGGCAGCUGACACAUUGACGGUCUUCCUGAUGAGAGCUUUGGGGUCAAACUUUUCCUGUUUCUGUCAUUUAUUGAGCAUUUCCUGUCCGUUCGGAUGACUACAGGCCGCCUCGUCUGCCUCAACUACCUUGGCGUGGGCUUCCCCUGCCAGCACAUCACUGCUUCCCUAAGUCAACUGAUUCCUAGUUGAGAAUCAGCCAGCCCACCUGACUGCAGACACACACCGCGUCGUCAAGGUCGGCCUCAUCAGCCACGCGUGUGCUGUUUUGGCCUGCAGAGGCUGGUUCCUCUGACUGACUUGGCAGACGGCUCAGAACUCACGGCACUGGUCACCCUCCCUAGUCUGGCAUCUGCCCUCACCACUGGGACGUAGCCGUGCCUCUGCGGGGAUGGCUACGGGGAACCAUCUUCCUGAAUCUUGAUCGGAGGGCCCUGGAGGAGCGGACCUCUUCUCUUUUGGCUGCUGAACUGAGAUGGGAAGGCGGCUCGAUUCCGGCCAUCCUGUGCCCUACGCAUCCUGCACACAUGGCCAAAAUGUUGAGACCGCAGAGCAGAGAGAUAGAAAGACGGGCUAUUUGGGUCAUGGUGGGAUUACCAAUCCCCUAGCCGUUCUGCCCUCCAUGUGUGAGCCAACAGUCACCUCCAUUGUCCACAUCGCCUCAGGUCGAGGUUUCAGCGACUUGCAGACCUUUGUGUUCUCUUGGCUUCAACUAUCGUUGACUUGCAGACUAUGCGCACGUUGGCACCGUGCCAGACUAAUCCUCAGAGUCUGGAAUGCGCAAAGCUUCAGUACCUAGUUAGGUCAAAGACUCCUUUAGCGCAGGAAGCCUGAAGACCACACUGUGAUCUGUCCCCUUACACCUGUUACCCUCCCACAUUCCGCACUGGACCGUGUGCUGCCCACACCCAUCCUGCUAUGCAAGUAGAGACCUGGACGCCCUCCCUGGUACCCCCUUCUCCCUCACCCUUCCUAGCCAAACCUCCAGCCUAGAAAGUCUCUCUCAUGCUGCUUCUCCUCUCGUCCUCAUCGCCUGUCCCCCAGGACACGUCAUCACCCCUGUCUUCCGGCCUCGGACUCCCCGAUCGCGUGUCUGCUAUCAACCCUCCCCUGUCUCCCUACAUGGUCAUCGCAUGACCCCCCGACCAGGCCCGUUUUCAUUCACCAUCGUGUCACCAGAGCCCAACACUGUGAUGUCACCUAGAACGUGCCAGUAAAGACUUGGUGCUCCCGGAGUGGGUCCCUUCCAGAGCGUAUGCACCCCCGGGGCGGGAGGCGCCUACGCACACAGUGCCGGAGGGUGGCCUAAUUUCUCAGGCCUCGUCGUUCCGCAGCCGGAAAGGCUGACAUUGGUGCAGGCCGUGUCUUGUCUGAUCACGUCCCCCUUGGGUACCGGCUAGGUAACAGGCCCUCUGGGCAGAUAGAGAGGACGAGGUCCACAGGGCCUGCAUCAGGGGCACAGACAGGCCGAGGGAAGCGCCCCUUCACACAGCUGGGUCUCGUAGCAGCUGCACCUAAAAGGGAGGUGGAGACAGAGCACAGAAAGUCAUGGUGUCUUCUCCCUGAACAGAUAUGACUUAAGGAGCCGGCCAGCGGCUCUGUCAUCAUGAUGGCGUCCCUCCACUGUACGUGCCGAAGUCACCGUGUGUCAUGCUGAGUGGCCCCACCGGCAGGUGCAUUUCCGAGUCAACCUGUGCGGUGAGCCUGGCCUUAGUGGAUGAGGAAGAAAGGGGGCAUGGGAAUCACAGCCUUGCCCAGGGGCUGGAGGCUGGCUCCCCAUCUGCCAGCAGCAGCAAAGCACCUGCAGAGAACCACUGGCCCCUCGGUCCAAGCUAAGGGCAGGAGGGAGACAAUUCGCAGCCACG
Long non-coding RNA from Neofelis nebulosa (Clouded leopard), 1922 nucleotides. RefSeq lists it as uncharacterized. Lineage: Eukaryota; Metazoa; Chordata; Mammalia; Carnivora; Felidae. The record is from RefSeq and is a predicted model, not a curated record. The transcript is spliced from 3 exons.